GAGGCAGGAGAAUGGCGUGAACCCGGGAAGCAGAGCUUGCAGUGAGCCGAGAUUGCGCCACUGCAGUCCGCAGUCCGACCUGGGCGACAGAGCGAGACUCCGUCUCAAAAAAAAAAAAAAAAAAAAAAAAAAGAAGAGUUCUAUACCUUUUUACCCAGAUCUUACCUAUGUUCAAACUUUGAAGGGUAUUUUUAGAUCUAAGAGAUCUGGGUCUUUAAAGUCAGUCUUGGCCAGAAUCAGGCUGCAAAUGCCAAAGCAAGAGAUGUCAGCAAUGAGUUGCAGGUCUUUGCCAAACAGAGCAUCAUCUGGCAGUGAAAGGAGAGCAGAAGAGGGGAUUUUGAAGUCUUCCUGCACACUUCCGACAACUUGAUUGAACUGGACGCCCUUGGAAGUUCAUGGCAUCGCCUAUAACAGAGUCUGUGUAGGCAAAACCCCAGCCUAUGCUGGAAUUUAACUCUUAAAAAGCAACCUAAGUAGAACACAAGAUUGUAAACUCUAAGGAGAUUCUAACACCAAAAGAAAGUAUGACUUGAGCCAAUGAAAUGCCAAAAUCCAGUUCUAGCUGACAACGUCAGUAGUGGAGGACAGACUUCCACUUGCCAUUUGAGGAAAAAGCAUGUGGAUUCAUGAGCAUAACAGCAGAUACCCCACUACCAAUUACCAAAUCCUGUGCACAUUCCUGUUCUCCAGUCACCUUUUCUCCAUAAAUGUUUGUGGUAUAAAAUGAAAACCUUCCCAAAUAUUAACCAGUCAACCUUUAUUCUC
Molecule: long non-coding RNA, 765 nt
Filed under: Homo sapiens (human)
Lineage: Eukaryota; Metazoa; Chordata; Mammalia; Primates; Hominidae
Description: novel transcript
Source: RNAcentral